UUAUUUAAAAUAUUUUCUUCGUCUAUAAAAUUACCCCAAAAUAUUUUUAACUUUUCUUAACGUUUUAUUUAAUUUUAUAUAAUUUUUAUUUUCGUAUUUUUUUAAUAUUAAUAUUUUAUUUUAAUUAUUUAUUCUAACUGGUCCAUUUUAACAUACUUUUUUUUAUUGAUUUUAUUUUUACGACUUAAAAUUAUUUUUAGCAUUUGAUUUUUGGGAUGAAGGAUGACCAC
This 230-nucleotide long non-coding RNA is filed under the name Lathyrus oleraceus (garden pea). RNAcentral's name for it is "Pisum sativum (pea) long non-coding RNA (PSAT_LNC003276)". Lineage: Eukaryota; Viridiplantae; Streptophyta; Magnoliopsida; Fabales; Fabaceae. The record is from RNAcentral.